RNAcentral lists this ribosomal RNA (581 nucleotides) under uncultured bacterium. Its description in RNAcentral is "partial 16S ribosomal RNA". It matches the Rfam family "Bacterial small subunit ribosomal RNA", at positions 355 to 1375 of the family's 1533-position model. The record is from RNAcentral.
UGGGGAAUUUUGGACAAUGGGCGAAAGCCUGAUCCAGCAAUGCCGCGUGUGUGAAGAAGGCCUUCGGGUUGUAAAGCACUUUUGUCCGGAAAGAAAUCCUUGGCUCUAAUACAGUCGGGGGAUGACGGUACCGGAAGAAUAAGCACCGGCUAACUACGUGCCAGCAGCCGCGGUAAUACGUAGGGUGCAAGCGUUAAUCGGAAUUACUGGGCGUAAAGCGUGCGCAGGCGGUUUGCUAAGACCGAUGUGAAAUCCCCGGGCUCAACCUGGGAACUGCAUUGGUGACUGGCAGGCUAGAGUAUGGCAGAGGGGGGUAGAAUUCCACGUGUAGCAGUGAAAUGCGUAGAGAUGUGGAGGAAUACCGAUGGCGAAGGCAGCCCCCUGGGCCAAAUACUGACGCUCAUGCACGAAAGCGUGGGGAGCAAACAGGAUUAGAUACCCUGGUAGUCCACGCCCUAAACGAUGUCAACUAGUUNUGGGGAUUCAUUCUAGUAACGUAGCUAACGCGUGAAGUUGACCGCCUGGGGAGUACGUCGCAAGAUUAAAACUUAAAUGAAUUGACGGGGUCAUAGCUGUUUCCU